CUCUACCGGAGGCUCUCGGGCGGCGGGCGCGGGCCUGCUCCUGCGGCAGGGAGGCGGGCGGCCUGGAGAAGCGGCUCCGCUCGCGAGGAGCCUCGGAUGGGGAGUGCGGUGGACCCCCAGGAACUCUGGAGCACCCUCCCGCCCCCAAGCCAAGUCCUCCUUAGCGAACAACCGGGGCCGAGUUCCAAGAUAUCACCGGUGCUGAGGGGACCGAGAUGAGGAUCCUUGGAUCCCCCAAAAGAGAACACCAGCUCUGGGAUCGCCAGGCCCUGGCUCAGCUCUCCACCCUGUAAUGAAAUGGCCAGCUAUCUGGGACAUUACUGUGUGGCCACUAGCAAAUUUAAAAUUACUAUGCGACUUGCAUUCCAUUUAUUGAAGCCUCCCUUCCAGGCUUCAUUUUUGUUCUGGUAGAAGCUAUGUUUGGAUGCUGAAACCUUUAUUAUUUAUUAUGUAUCACUCCAGCUCUCCAGCUCUUCCAUCUCUUCUGCUUCUGCCGACCCCACAGAGGACCAGCAUGAAAGGAGAUCAUUAGGCUAUUCAGGGCCUCCCUCAGACUGCAGAGGUGGCUAAGAACUCCCUGCCCACAACCCCUGCCCAGGGUUACAUGGGGUUUUGAAAGCAUUAUUCUCCCCAAACAAAAACCACCUCUCCCAUUUGGACUGAAGGAUCCAUCCCUGAGCCCCUUGUCUCCUAUCUCCUUUUCAGUAGCCUCCUCGCCAUCAGAACUGUCACUCCCGCUGCCAUCAUCCUCUCCUUCAGCACCAUCUCCAUUCUCAUCACUCGCAUCACCACCACCUCACACAGAACCAUCUGCAUCCUUCUGCUCACCCAGUGGACCCUCUUCUCCCUGUACCCAGGGAGGAACCCUAUCAGCAUUUGCUGCCUUUGAUGCUGCAUCCAAACUCUAAGCCCUCCUGAGCUAAGGAUUUUGCAUGGCUGGGCUCCCAACUGUAUUCUGGCAGCUGGGCCCCAUGGCAGCCAGACUGCAGGGCUCAGAGAAACAACCAACAACCCUGGGAAGGGGUGAAGGCCACAUGCCCUGCAGAAGAUGGUCCCGUCUUAUUGCAUUAGAAAGGGACAGUGAAGAAGAGUGACCAAAUGAGGGAGCAAGAAACCCCCAGCUUACCUCGCAUAGGGACCACGGUUUACUUAGCAAGGAAGAACAAAACGGAACAACAGCAAUAAUAAUAGCUAAUAUGUAUUGCUUAUUGGCUGGGUGCCAGACUCCAUGCUGAGUGCCGAACAUGCAUUGUUCAUCAGAUCUCCACAGCACCCCUAUGUGGCUUAGGUCAGCCAACUUCCCAGGCGCUGGAGGCAGCUGGCAGCAGAAAGGCAGUGACGCUCAGGUCAUUACAUGUUAUUGCUUCAGCAGCACUAAAAGAAAAAGACACAACAAAGACACAACCGCACCACAGCCCUGGAAUUCUCUUUUCUUCAGCUCCUGGAUUUGGGCAUCAAUUUUUUUUUUCUUGGCUUUGAACAAAGCCUCUAAUUUCCCGACAACCAAAAUGCUGUCUCCAGGGUAUGUGCACCCUGCCAGAGUGGCAGACAAUGCAUCGCAGCCUUCCCUCUGCACAGGUGGGGGUACAGGGACUCGCUGUUCUCACAGCUCUGGGCCCCAUCCCCACCACAAUUUUUUUUCCUGGGAGGGGCUCCCCAACCCAAAGGGUGGGGACUCCUAGAAAGAAUGGCAAUUUCAAGUUGUUUACAAUCUCCACAUAUCAACCUCCUCUCUGCCUUGUGUGAGCAAGGUCAGAAAGCACAGAAGACCAUGUACAGGGUCCCAGUUCCUUUCCUCCUGGCUGCGUGGCAUCUCUUCAGCCCCAGGCUUAGAGCAUUGAAUUAUUCACAGAAGCCAAAGUCAUGGCUUCCCUUGGGUCACCCACUCAAGAAUGUAAACCCCCUGACUCUCAGAAAGGUCUUACUUAUUGCUUGGACUCCUGUGGACCUGUGUGCAGCUGCAAACACACGCAUGGCAUGCACUCAUCACAUACGGACAGGUAGGACAGAGACACACAGUCACACUGACACGUGUUCACACAGAAACAGUCACAAGUUCACAUGGAAACACUGACACAUGGUCACACAGUCACACAAUCACACAGACACACAGUCACAAUGACACAUGGUCAUGCAGAAACAGACACAUAGUCACACAAACAGUCACACAGAAACAGUCACAGUCACGAGGUCACUUGGAGACACUGACACAUGGUCACACAGUCAUACAAUCACAUAGAAAUACAGUCACACUGACUGUUCACACUGACACACAGACACAGUCACACACACAAUCACACAGAAACAUAGCCACAAGUUCACAUGGAAACACUGACAUGAUCACACAGUCACAAAAUCACAUAGACCUACAGUCACACGGACACAUGGUCACAUAGAAACACAGAUACAUAGUCUCACAAACACCCUGUCACACAGAAACAUUACACAGUGACAAGGUGACAUGGAGACGUUGAUACAUGGUCACAUAGAUACACAGCCACAUUGGCAUGCAGUCACACAAUCAUACUAACACAGUCACACAGAAACACAGACACAGUCACACUGACACAGUCACACAGAAACAGUCACAAGUUCAUAUGGAAACACUGAUACAUGAUCACAUGGUCACACAAUCACAUAGACACACAGUCACACUGACACAUGGUCACAUAGAAACAGACACAUAGUCACACAAACACACAGCCAUACAGAAGCACUACACAAUCACGAGGUCACGUGGAGACGCUGAUACAUGGUCACACGGUCACACAGACACACAGUCACACUGACACACAUUCACACAGAACACAGACACAGUCACACAGUCACAAGGUUACACGAAAACACUGACACGUCAUCACACACACAGUCAUAAGGUCACACAGAAACACUAACAUACAGUCACAUAGUAACAAAGUCACACAGACACACAGUCACAAAGUCACAUGGAAACACUGACACAUUAUCAUACAACCACACAGUCACAGAGUCACACAGGUACACAGUCACAGGGACACACAAGCACACAGUCACACAGUGUGUAAGGACUUCUCUGAAUGGCUUUGAUCCCGAGGCCAGGUGAGAGAUUAAGGGGGAAAGGG
Molecule: long non-coding RNA, 3101 nt
Filed under: Homo sapiens (human)
Lineage: Eukaryota; Metazoa; Chordata; Mammalia; Primates; Hominidae
Description: non-protein coding PKNOX2-AS1:2
Source: RNAcentral